This is a non-coding RNA of Hyla sarda, 369 nucleotides long. The record is from the annotation of a RefSeq genome assembly. Lineage: Eukaryota; Metazoa; Chordata; Amphibia; Anura; Hylidae.
AUGAAGACUUUCCUGCUCCUCUUUAUAUCACUGGCCUGCUUGUCAGGUGUCCAGUCUCAGCAACUUGUCCAGUCAUCAGACCCAGUGGUGAUAAAGCCCGGAAAUUCCUAUAGAGCCUCAUGUACGGCUUCUGGAUUCACCUUCAGUGAUUACCAUAUGCACUGGGUUAGACAGAGUCCUGGCGGAGGAUUACAGUGGGUUGCUUAUAUCAGUGGCCCCUCUGGAAGCAACAUAGCCUAUCAUGAUUCUGUCCAAGGACGAUUCACAAUCUCCAGAGAUAACAGUAAUAACCUGUUAUAUCUACAAAUGACCAACAUGAAGACUGAGGACUCUGCCGUGUAUUACUGUGCUAGGGAUGCACACUGGUAA